RNAcentral lists this ribosomal RNA (439 nucleotides) under uncultured Anaerolineaceae bacterium. RNAcentral describes it as "bacterial SSU rRNA". It matches the Rfam family "Bacterial small subunit ribosomal RNA", at positions 925 to 1382 of the family's 1533-position model. Lineage: Bacteria; Bacillati; Chloroflexota; Anaerolineae; Anaerolineales; Anaerolineaceae. The record is from RNAcentral.
ACAAGCGGCGGAGCAUGCGGAUUAAUCGAUGCAACGCGAAGAACCUUACCAAGGCUUGACAUACACCGGUAACGCCCAGAGAUGGGUGCCCCUUGUGGUCGGUGUACAGGUGUUGCAUGGCUGUCGUCAGCUCGUGUCGUGAGAUGUUCGGUUAAGUCCGCUAACGAGCGCAACCCUCGUCGUAUGUUAUAUGUGUCAUACGAGACUGCCGGUAAAAAGCCGGAGGAAGGUGAGGAUGAUGUCAAGUCAGCAUGACCUUUAUAUCCAGGGCUACACACACGCUACAAUGGUCUGUACAAUGGGUAGCCAAGCCGCGAGGCGGAGCCAAUCCUGAAAGCAGGCCUCAGUUCAGAUUGCAGUCUGCAACUCGACUGCAUGAAGCCGGAGUUGCUAGUAACCGCAGGUCAGCAAUACUGCGGUGAAUACGUUCCCGGGUCUU